AGACUAUCAAUCAGCGGUGGGCCAAAUAUGAAGAAGACAGUAUGGAGAAUUUGCUCCAAGGUGUUCACCAGUAAUGUUGCCCGGCAACUGAAUUGGUGUGGUAGGGGAGACAAAAGAGGAAUCCGUAAGACAAAUAUUGGUGCCCUCUUAAUAGCCUCAGCUAUGAGGAAUCCGGUCCUUUUGUCCCCAACUGAAGCGGACGCAGAAAAAAUCAUCAAAGAUUUCCUACGCUUGGCCCCAGGGAGGGUGUAAUUGUUGUUUUAUAUGUUUUGAAGUCAUGUUUGUUAUGACAAAAGUGUAGUGUUGUUUACAUUUAAUAUUAUAUUUAAUAUGGUGUUCAAGUUAAAAUAGUUUCUUUACCUAUUAUUAAAAUAGGCAAAUGCAUGUAUUAUUUUAAGUU
Molecule: long non-coding RNA, 400 nt
Organism: Misgurnus anguillicaudatus (oriental weatherfish)
Lineage: Eukaryota; Metazoa; Chordata; Actinopteri; Cypriniformes; Cobitidae
Source: RefSeq, a predicted model, not a curated record